RNAcentral lists this ribosomal RNA (514 nucleotides) under uncultured bacterium. RNAcentral's name for it is "partial 16S ribosomal RNA". It matches the Rfam family "Bacterial small subunit ribosomal RNA", at positions 28 to 523 of the family's 1533-position model. The record is from RNAcentral.
GACGAACGCUGGCGGCGUGCCUAACACAUGCAAGUCGAACGGAGAAUUAGCAAUAAUUCUUAGUGGCGAACGGGUGAGUAACGCGUAGACAACCUACCCUUUAGAUGGGGACAACACCGCGAAAGUGGUGCUAAUACCGAAUAUCGCUUGAGAAGCGCAUGCUUUUCAAACAAAAGAUGGCCUCUAUUUAUAAGCUAUCGCUAAAGAAUGGGUCUGCAUCUGAUUAGCUAGUUGGUGAGAUAAAAGCUCACCAAGGCAACGAUCAGUAGCCGGUCUGAGAGGAUGAACGGCCACACUGGGACUGAGACACGGCCCAGACUCCUACGGGAGGCAGCAGUGGGGAAUCUUCCGCAAUGGACGAAAGUCUGACGGAGCAACGCCGCGUGAGUGAUGAAGGUUUUCGGAUCGUAAAACUCUGUUGUUAAGGACGAAUGUAUAGAUUGUGAAUAAUGGUUUAUAAUGACGGUACUUAACGAGGAAGCCACGGCUAACUACGUGCCAGCCGCCGCCGUAA